AUUGAACGCUGGCGGCAGGCCUAACACAUGCAAGUCGGACGGUAGCACAGAGAGCUUGCUCUUGGGUGACGAGUGGCGGACGGGUGAGUAAUGUCUGGGGAUCUGCCCGAUAGAGGGGGAUAACCACUGGAAACGGUGGCUAAUACCGCAUAACGUCGCAAGACCAAAGAGGGGGACCUUCGGGCCUCUCACUAUCGGAUGAACCCAGAUGGGAUUAGCUAGUAGGCGGGGUAAUGGCCCACCUAGGCGACGAUCCCUAGCUGGUCUGAGAGGAGGACCAGCCACGCUGGAACUGAGACACGGUCCAGACUCCGACGGGAGGCAGCAGUGGGGAAUAUUGCACAAUGGGCGAAAGCCUGAUGCAGCCAGGCCGCGUGUAGGAAGAAGGCCUUCGGGUUGGAAAGUACUUUCAGCGGGGAGGAAGGCGACGCGGUUAAUAACCGCGUCGAUUGACGUUACCCGCAGAAGAAGCACCGGCUAACUCCGUGCCAGCAGCCGCCGUAA
Molecule: ribosomal RNA, 504 nt
Filed under: uncultured bacterium
Lineage: Bacteria
Description: partial 16S ribosomal RNA
Rfam family: Bacterial small subunit ribosomal RNA
Source: RNAcentral